Molecule: ribosomal RNA, 497 nt
Filed under: uncultured bacterium
Lineage: Bacteria
Description: partial 16S ribosomal RNA
Rfam family: Bacterial small subunit ribosomal RNA
Source: RNAcentral
GAUGAACGCUGGCGGCGUGCCUAAUACAUGCAAGUCGAGCGAACGGACGAGAAGCUUGCUUCUCUGAUGUUAGCGGCGGACGGGUGAGUAACACGUGGAUAACCUACCUAUAAGACUGGGAUAACUUCGGGAAACCGGAGCUAAUACCGGAUAAUAUUUUGAACCGCAUGGUUCAAAAGUGAAAGACGGUCUUGCUGUCACUUAUAGAUGGAUCCGCGCUGCAUUAGCUAGUUGGUAAGGUAACGGCUUACCAAGGCAACGAUGCAUAGCCGACCUGAGAGGGUGUUCGGCCACACUGGGAAUGAGACACGGUCCAUACUCCUACGGGAUGCAGCAAGAGGGAAUCUUCCGCAAUGGGCGAAAGCCUGGCGGAGCAACGCCGAGUGGUUGAUGAAGGUCUUCGGAUCGUAAAACUCUGUUAUUAGGAAAGAACAUAUGUGUAAGUAACUGUGCACAUCUUGACGGUACCUAAUCAGAAAGCCACGGCUAACUACGUG